CAACCCUCAGGCCCCCGGGCCUGGCGUUGGGGAUCGGCGGAAGCCCCCUGUGGGCACACGCCGUCCCUCAAAUACAGUGGCGGUCCCGCCGCAGCUUCCAUUGCGUAGUAGCUAACACCUCGCAACUGGAGAGCGGCGCGGCCAUGCCGUAAAACACCCAACUUCUGAA
Molecule: unclassified non-coding RNA, 169 nt
Filed under: uncultured Nectriaceae
Lineage: Eukaryota; Fungi; Ascomycota; Sordariomycetes; Hypocreales; Nectriaceae
Also listed under: 1 other name
Description: sequence contains ITS2
Source: RNAcentral